This 155-nucleotide ribosomal RNA is filed under the name Pichia inconspicua. RNAcentral's name for it is "[Candida] inconspicua 5.8S ribosomal RNA". It matches the Rfam family "5.8S ribosomal RNA". From Rfam's summary of the family: 5.8S ribosomal RNA (5.8S rRNA) is a component of the large subunit of the eukaryotic ribosome. Lineage: Eukaryota; Fungi; Ascomycota; Pichiomycetes; Pichiales; Pichiaceae. The record is from RNAcentral.
AACUUUCAACAACGGAUCUCUUGGUUCUCGCAUCGAUGAAGAGCGCAGCGAAAUGCGAUACCUAGUGUGAAUUGCAGCCAUCGUGAAUCAUCGAGUUCUUGAACGCACAUUGCGCCCUCCGGCAUUCCGGGGGGCAUGCCUGUUUGAGCGUCGUU